UACGUAGGGUGCGAGCGUUGUCCGGAAUUAUUGGGCGUAAAGAGCUCGUAGGCGGUGUGUCGCGUCGGCCGUGAAAAACCUGGGGCUCAACUCUGGGCGUGCGGUCGAUACGGGCAUCACUUGAGUUCGGCAGGGGAGACUGGAAUUCCUGGUGUAGCGGUGAAAUUCGUAGAUAUCGGGAGGAACACCAGUGGCGAAGGCGGCUCUCUGGGCAGAUACUGACGCUGAGACGCGAAAGCAUGGGGGAGCAAACAGG
RNAcentral lists this ribosomal RNA (256 nucleotides) under uncultured bacterium. RNAcentral describes it as "partial 16S ribosomal RNA". It matches the Rfam family "Bacterial small subunit ribosomal RNA", at positions 524 to 776 of the family's 1533-position model. The record is from RNAcentral.